UUGGUGACCAGCGGAGGGAUCAUUACCGAGUUUACAACUCCCAAACCCAAUGUGAACGUUACCAAACUGUUGCCUCGGCGGGAUCUCUGCCCCGGGUGCGUCGCAGCCCCGGACCAAGGCGCCCGCCGGAGGACCAACCAAAACUCUUUUUGUAUACCCCCUCGCGGGUUUUUUUAUAAUCUGAGCCUUCUCGGCGCCUCUCGUAGGCGUUUCGAAAAUGAAUCAAAACUUUCAACAACGGAUCUCUUGGUUCUGGCAUCGAUGAAGAACGCAGCGAAAUGCGAUAAGUAAUGUGAAUUGCAGAAUUCAGUGAAUCAUCGAAUCUUUGAACGCACAUUGCGCCCGCCAGUAUUCUGGCGGGCAUGCCUGUCCGAGCGUCAUUUCAACCCUCGAACCCCUCCGGGGGGUCGGCGUUGGGGAUCGGCCCUCCCUUAGCGGGUGGCCGUCUCCGAAAUACAGUGGCGGUCUCGCCGCAGCCUCUCCUGCGCAGUAGUUUGCACACUCGCAUCGGGAGCGCGGCGCGUCCACAGCCGUUAAACACCCAACUUCUGAAAUGUUGACCUCGGAUCAGGUAGGAAUACCCGCUGAACUUAAGCAUAUCAAUAG
RNAcentral lists this ribosomal RNA (606 nucleotides) under Trichoderma harzianum. RNAcentral describes it as "eukaryotic LSU rRNA". The stretch from base 227 to 380 matches the Rfam family "5.8S ribosomal RNA". Lineage: Eukaryota; Fungi; Ascomycota; Sordariomycetes; Hypocreales; Hypocreaceae. The record is from RNAcentral.